GGAGAAAGCGCCAAACGCUCCGGCGCCGCAGGAUGCGACUGCGGCCGAUUAGGUAGACGGUGGGGUAACGGCCCACCGUGCCGAUAAUCGGUACGGGUAGUGAGAGCUAGAGCCCGGAGACGGACUCUGAGACAAGAGUCCGGGCCCUACGGGGCGCAGCAGGCGCGAAACCUUUACACUGCGCGACAGCGCGAUAGGGGGACCCCAAGUGCGAGGGCAUACAGUCCUCGCUUUUUCCGACCGUAAGGUGGUCGGCGAAUAAGAGCUGGGCAAGACCGGUGCCAGCCGCCGCGGUAAUACCGGCAGCUCGAGUGAUGGCCGCUAUUAUUGGGCCUAAAGCGUCCGUAGCCGGCUAGACAGGUCCGUCGGGAAAUCCACCCGCUCAACGGGUGGGCGUCCGGCGGAAACCAGCUAGCUCGGGACCGAGCGACCUGAGGGGUACGUCUGGGGUAGGAGUGAAAUCCCGUAAUCCCGGACGGACCAUCGGUGGCGAAAGCGCCUCAGGAGAGCGGAUCCGACGGUGAGGGACGAAAGCUAGGGUCUCGAACCGGAUUAGAUACCCGGGUAGUCCUAGCCGUAAACGAUGCUCGCUAGGUGUGGCGCUGGCUAC
This 610-nucleotide ribosomal RNA is filed under the name uncultured Halococcus sp. RNAcentral describes it as "bacterial SSU rRNA". It matches the Rfam family "Archaeal small subunit ribosomal RNA", at positions 177 to 786 of the family's 1478-position model. Lineage: Archaea; Methanobacteriati; Methanobacteriota; Halobacteria; Halobacteriales; Halococcaceae. The record is from RNAcentral.